GGACCCUGGACCACAUAACAGCACCAUAUUGGUAUAUAUGUUAAGCUGCUCAUGAACACAAUGUAAUUAUUUAAUAAAACACAUCCGGUAUAAGAUUCCAUGAAUUAAAUAGAAUCACAAUGACCAUGAGCCCUGGAACUGAAGCAACAGAAAGCAUUAACUGAAACACAAACUACAUUCAGAAUCAUUCAAACUAGAGAUUACAUGCAUGUGCAGCACAUUCAAUCAAGCAACCAAUCCAUGGCAUGGCUUCCCUUAACUAAUUCACUGCCUACGAGUUGCUGGCUCAUACACCAAAAUAAAAAGCUAUUUAUUAAAAAGUAGGACCAUAUUAGGAAUCUAUUUUAGAUAUCAAGAAAAAGAUACAAAGAUUGGCUACAUAGGAAGUAUUAUGUCUAAUUUGAUCAGUAUCUAAGCUACUGCUGACUUCCAUCUAUGAUUAGACUGAUGAUUCAAACAGUUGCUAUGAGGUCAUUCCUGGCAGUAUGCAGGGCAUAUCACUAAUUAAAGCAGCAUAGAUAUUUAGAUGACCCAAAGAAAAUGAACAAAAUAUAAAAUUAAACAUCUACUCUCAACCACUUAAGAGUAGUGGAAAAUGCUCGUAAAGAUGAUCUAAAUUUUCAAACAGUUAUAACAUAACAUUAUUUAAGUUUGAACGAGUGUCAUGCCCAAUAGCAGGAGAUCAAAGAGCAAUGAGCUAUGUACUCAAGUCUCAAAUGAAGCAAUUAUUAAUUUAGUAUAUCUACCACAGAGAUAAAAUAUAUCUAUCAUGUCCCUUCCAUGUAAUGCAGGCCACGGACAUAUUGAAUAUUUAAACUGUGUUAUGUCCACGAAUUUGUAGAAUUCAAUUGAAUUC
RNAcentral lists this unclassified non-coding RNA (856 nucleotides) under Hevea brasiliensis (rubber tree). Lineage: Eukaryota; Viridiplantae; Streptophyta; Magnoliopsida; Malpighiales; Euphorbiaceae. The record is from RNAcentral.